CAGUCUCCGAGGCGCGUGCGCACGGACCUGCCUUAUAGCCCGGCCGCCUGCGCGCUGACCUCACACCGGGUCAAGGCCGCGGCCCGAGGGCCGAACCGACUGGAGAGAGUGGGCCCUGCCGGAGCUCACACCGGGUCAAGGCCGCGGGCUGAACCGACUGGAGAGAGUGGGCCCUGCCGGAGCUCACACCGGGUCAAGGCUGCGGCCCGAGUGCCGAACCGACUGGAGAGAGUGGGCCCUGCCGGAGCUCACACCGGGUCAAGGCCGCGGCCCCAGGGCCGAACCGACUGGAGAGAGUGGGCCCUGCCGGGGCUCACACCGGGUCAAGGCCGCGGGCUGAACCGACUGGAGAGUGGGCCCUGCCGGAGCUCACACCGGGUCAAGGCCGCGGCCCGAGGGCCGAACCGACUGGAGAGAGCGGGCCCUGCCGGAGCUCACACCGGGUCAAGGCCGCGGCCCGAGGGCCGAACCGACUGGAGAGAGCGGGCCCUGCCGGAGCUCACACCGGGUCAAGGCCGCGGCCCGAGGGCCGAACCGACUGGAGAGAGUGGGCCCUGCCGGGGCUCACACCGGGUCAAGGCCGCGGCCCGAGGGCCGAACCGACUGGAGAGAGCGGGCCCUGCCGGAGCUCACACCGGGUCAAGGCCGCGGCCCGAGGGCCGAACCGACUGGAGAGAGCGGGCCCUGCCGGACCUCACACCGGGUCAAGGCCGCGGCCCGAGGGCCGAACCGACUGGAGAGAGCGGGCCCUGCCGGAGCUCACAGCCGGGGCUCACACCGGGUCAAGGCCGCGGCCCGAGGGCCGAACCGACUGGAGAGAGCGGGCCCUGCCGGACCCUCACACCGGGUCAAGGCCGCGGCCCGAGGGCCGAACCGACUGGAGAGAGCGGGCCCUGCCGGAGCUCACACCGGGUCAAGGCCGCGGCCCGAGGGCCGAACCGACUGGAGAGAGCGGGCCCUGCCGGAGCCGUCCCGGAGCCGGCACCUACCUCAGAGGGCUGCUGGGAGGCUAGCCACGGCGCUCCGCCACAGGCGUCCGGAACAGGCCCGGCAGGCGGCCGGCACGUGCUGAACGGGCCGCCUGCGGGCCGCGCAGCCUCCCGCCGACCGGAGCGCACGGCGCUGCUGGGGGACACGGCCGCGGCCCCAGACGGGCGGCCGGCUGCCGACGUGGCAGAGCACAGCCUCUGCCCCAGACGUGCUCAGCGCCGCCGAUCACCCAGAUCUCGGGCCCGACAAAACCUCAGUCACACAGUCAAACGCACCCCGACAUAUGCCCGGGCGCAGAACACCUCUGAGCGUCGCCCCGUGCGGAGCUCACAGGCCCUCACAGGCCCUCACAGCGGCGAAUUCCCGCGGUCGCCCGUGUCCCCGGGCCGCCGUCUCAGUCAGUCAGUCGGACGGCGGCCGCUCGCGGGCACGCCUCCAGGCACACGGCCGGCCGCACCCCAACCCUCUCGCUCACAACCGCACACAACGCCCCUCGGAAGCUCACGCCCCGUCCUCCUCAGCCACACAGCACAGCCGGCUGUCAGUGAGAAACGCACCCCCGCCAUGCGGCCGCCGCUGAAGCACUCUCUCAGGCGGCACCCCAGGGAGUUCCACAGCCGGCCUGGGCGUCCGCCGGUCGGCCCUCCAGUCGCGCGGCUCGUGGCCAGCGCCUCAGUCCCGCGCGCCUGGCACGGGCCGCCUGAGAGAGGGGCCUGA
RNAcentral lists this long non-coding RNA (1707 nucleotides) under Zalophus californianus (California sea lion). RNAcentral's name for it is "lncRNA (ENSZCAG00015018848.1)". Lineage: Eukaryota; Metazoa; Chordata; Mammalia; Carnivora; Otariidae. The record is from RNAcentral.